RNAcentral lists this ribosomal RNA (904 nucleotides) under uncultured bacterium. RNAcentral describes it as "bacterial SSU rRNA". It matches the Rfam family "Bacterial small subunit ribosomal RNA", at positions 57 to 1006 of the family's 1533-position model. The record is from RNAcentral.
GCAAGUCGAACGAAAGUUUUUAACUUUAGUGGCGAACGGGUGCGUAAUACGUGAGAAUCUGCCCUUAGGAGAAGAAUAACUGCUGGAAACGGCUGCUAAAUCUUCAUAUACCGAGAGGUGAAAUAGUUUUAACUGCCUAAGGAUGAGCUCACGCCUGAUUAGCUAGUUGGUGAGGUAACGGCUUACCAAGGCCACGAUCAGUAGCUGGUUUGAGAGAAUGAUCAGCCACACUGGGACUGAGACACGGCCCAGACUCCUCCGGGAGGCAGCAGUGAGGAAUUUUCCGCAAUGGGCGAAAGCCUGACGGAGCAAUACCGCGUGAGGGAUGAAGGAUUUUGGUCUGUAAACCUCUUUUCUCAAGAAAGAAGUUCUGACGGUACUUGAGGAAUAAGCAUCGGCUAACUCCGUGCCAGCAGCCGCGGUAAUACGGGGGAUGCAAGCGUUAUCCGGAAUCAUUGGGCGUAAAGCGCCUGUAGGUUGUUUAAUAAGUCUGUUGUUAAAGACUAGGGCUCAACCCUAGAAAAGCAAUGGAAACUACUAGACUAGAGUAUGGCAGGGGUAGAGGGAAUUUCUAGUGUAGCGGUGAAAUGCGUAGAUAUUAGAAAGAACACCAGUGGCGAAAGCGCUCUACUGGACCGUUACUGACACUCAGAGGCGAAAGCUAGGGUAGCAAAAGGGAUUAGAUACCCCUGUAGUCCUAGCCGUAAACGAUGGAUACUAGAUGUUGUAUUUAUUAUACAGUAUCCUAGCUAACGCGUUAAGUAUCCCGCCUGGGGAGUACGCUCGCAAGGGUGAAACUCAAAGGAAUUGACGGGGGCCCGCACAAGCGGUGGAGCAUGUGGUUUAAUUCGAUGCAACGCGAAGAACCUUACCAGGGCUUGACAUACUGCGAACCUUUUUGAAA